GACGAACGCUGGCGGCGUGCUUAACACAUGCAAGUCGAACGGGCCUUGUCCCCUUUUUUUUGGGGGUUGGGUUAGUGGCGAACGGGUGAGUAACACGUGAGUAACCUGCCCCUCACUUCUGGAUAACCGCUUGAAAGGGUGUCUAAUACGGGGUUUUCUUGCCUGCUCUCAUGGGUGGGUUUGGGACGAUUCGACCGUUUUUUGUUGUUUUGUUGGGGGUUGGUCUCGCGGCCUAUCAGCUUGCGGGUGGGGUGGGUGCCUGCCAAUGGUUUGACGGGUAGACGGUCUGAGAGGGUGGGCGGUCACACGGGGACUGAGACACGGCCCAGACUCAUACGGGAGGCAGCAGUGGGGAAUAUUGCAAAAGGGGCGAAAGCCUGAUGGGGCGACGCCGCGUGAGGGAUGGAGGCCUGCGGGGUGUGAACCUCUUUCGAGAGUGAAGAAGGUGCUGCUCUUUGUGGUGGGGUUGACGGUAGCUGGGUUAAUGAAGCGCCGGCUAACUACGUG
This 507-nucleotide ribosomal RNA is filed under the name uncultured bacterium. RNAcentral's name for it is "partial 16S ribosomal RNA". It matches the Rfam family "Bacterial small subunit ribosomal RNA", at positions 28 to 507 of the family's 1533-position model. The record is from RNAcentral.